RNAcentral lists this unclassified non-coding RNA (1493 nucleotides) under Penaeus japonicus. RNAcentral describes it as "endochitinase-like, transcript variant X3". Lineage: Eukaryota; Metazoa; Arthropoda; Malacostraca; Decapoda; Penaeidae. The record is from RNAcentral.
UUCUAACGAAUUCUCGAUGCAUAAAAUACUUAGAUAAACCAGAGUGAUAAGCGUGCACCGCAGUCACGUAAUUUCCUCGCUCUACGCGCUCAAAGGAAGCAACAAACAUCACCGCCAUUCCCACACCAUAGGACCAUAGGAGCUGUACCUCGCAACAUCAGCAAUGGCAGAUCAACACGGGGUGGCAGUGCUAUGGCUGUUAUUAAUGUUGACUUGCGGACUCCUGCAACAAGCUCAAGUUCUCGUCUCGGGAUUCGAACCGGAAACCCAGCCAGGCAAAGCGGCAAGGCGUGUGUGCUACUACCAGGCAGGGACAGUCCACCGCCCGGGAGAAGCUAGCUACAAGAUCGAGGACAUCCCGGGUGUCCUCUGUUCCCAUAUCAUCUACGCUUUCGCUGACCUCUCUAACGUCACGUGGGAGGUCAUGCCUUCUAACCCGAGUUUCGACAUCGACGCUGGCGGUUACGAAAGGUUCGUCGGGUUGAAGGACACUUAUCCAGAUCUCACGGCGACCAUCGGCGUCGGCGGAGGCGGCAGCGGAACGGCAGAGGUCUUCUCCCAGAUGGCCAGCCGCAAGGAACAGAGAGACGUCUUCGUCCAGAGCAUCGUAGAUCUUGUGAAGAGGUAUAAUUUUGAUGGUGUCGACGUAGACUGGGAAUAUCCCGACACGCCCGAAGACAAGGAAAACUUUCGGUUACUGAUGGAUGAACUGCGAGCGGCCCUGGAUGCAGAGGCUCAAAGCUUAGAGCUCACUAUGGCCGUUCCAAUUGUCAGAUAUAGACUGCAUGAUGGAUAUAGCGUCCCUGAACUCUGCAGAGCAGUUGAUGCAGUUCAUCUCAUGGGCUACGACUUGAGAGGAGUGUGGAAUGAUGUGGCUGACGUGCAUUCAAUGCUCUAUCGAAGACCUGACAUAGACUUCGGUAUUCUAGAGGAAAUAAACUUGAACGACGGUUCCCUCCUCUGGGAGGAACUUGGAUGCCCCCGAGACAAGCUCGUGCUGGGAGUCCCCUUCUACGGACGGAGCUUCACGUUAGCUGAUCCUUCUCAACACACACUUCACGCCCCGAUCACUGGGUCUGGGAAUCCGGGGCCUAUAAUAGGGGAUCCUACAGUCCUGGUUUACUUUGAGAUUUGUACAAACUUGAAGAAUGACCCAGAGUGGAAGAGGGAAUGGGAUAAUGAAGGUCUGGUUCCUUAUACAUACAAAGGUGACCAGUGGAUUGGCUACGAAGACCCUGAGAGUCUCAAGAUCAAGAUGGACUAUAUUCGAAAGAUGGGAUACCUCGGGGCCAUGAACUGGGCUAUCGAUGACGACGACUUCAAGGGCUGGUGUGGCUUAGGGGUCAAUCCCAUGAUGACGGCCAUUUACGAAGGCUUGAAGAACUAUACUGUGCCAAGGAGCAAAGAAUGACGUCCUUAUUCCUCGGUCACUGUUCUCUGAUGCUUGAUAACUCCACUUCACACUAAGCAAUGGUUAUUAACCCACACAGGAC